RNAcentral lists this ribosomal RNA (731 nucleotides) under uncultured cyanobacterium. Its description in RNAcentral is "bacterial SSU rRNA". It matches the Rfam family "Bacterial small subunit ribosomal RNA", at positions 35 to 799 of the family's 1533-position model. Lineage: Bacteria; Bacillati; Cyanobacteriota. The record is from RNAcentral.
GCCGGCUGUAUGCCUAACACAUGCAAGUCGUACGAGAGUUUUUAACUCUAGUGGCGGACGGGUGAGUAACACGUGAGAAUUUGCCUUUAGGAGGGGGACAACAAUUGGAAACGAAUGCUAAUACCCCAUAUGCUUUCGAGUGAAAUGGAUUUAUAUUUAUCCGCCUAGAGAGAAGCUCGCGGCUGAUUAGCUUGUUGGUAAGGUAAGAGCUUACCAAGGCGACGAUCAGUAUCUGGUUUGAGAGGACGAUCAGACACACUGGAACUGAGACACGGUCCAGACUCCUACGGGAGGCAGCAGUGGGGAAUUUUCCGCAAUGGGCGAAAGCCUGACGGAGCAAUACAGCGUGAGGGAAGACUGCCUAUGGGUUGUAAACCUCUUUUUUCAGGGAGGAAUAAAUGACGUGUACCUGAAGAAUAAGCAUCGGCUAACUCCGUGCCAGCAGCCGCGGUAAGACGGAGGAUGCAAGUGUUAUCCGGAAUCACUGGGCGUAAAGCGUCUGUAGGUGGUUUAAUAAGUCAACUGUUAAAUCUUGAGGCUCAACUUCAAAAUCGCAGUCGAAACUAUUAGACUAGAGUAUAGUAGAGGUAAAGGGAAUUUCCAGUGGAGCGGUGAAAUGCGUAGAUAUUGGAAAGAACACCGAUGGCGAAAGCACUUUACUGGGCUAUUACUAACACUCAGAGACGAAAGCUAGGGUAGCAAAUGGGAUUAGAUACCCCCAGUAGUCCUAG